AUUUCAACUGCUUUUGAUCUACUUGUUCUUGAGCUCUGUGAAAUUAAUAGGAGGGAGCAACCUUUCAAGCAUUCAUUCAGCACCUGCUCUGAGUCUUUUGCUGCUAUUGGAGAUCAAGAGAAAUUCGAUCAUCAGGAAUUGAAAUAUCCUAAGGAUAAACCACUUAGGUGAUUUCAGCAUAUUUCUGAAACAUGAGCUUGUUGGUUUGGGGCAUGGUAUAACAUCACAUGUCACAGCAUACUUAUUCACUGACUGGCAGACUUCUGAUUCCAAUGGAGAUAAGAAGCUUAAAAUUUUUUUAAUGACCUUUAUGUUGAAGUAUAACGUACAUAUAGAAAGUUCAGAAGUGUACAGAAGUCAUCACAAAGUAAAUACAGUGGUGUAAUCAGCACCCAGGUCAAGAAAUAGAAAAUUUCCAGAACACUUUCAUACACAGGUAAAAUGUAUCUUUUGUAUAAAGAUAAAAUGUCUAUCCUGACUUCUAACACUUUAGAUUAGUGUUGUCUGUUUUGAACUUUAUAUAAAUGAUGAAAUCUUAUAGUUGGUAUUAUUUUUGUCUGGCUUCUUUAAUUACAUUUGUGAUAUUCCUCUUGUUGCAUGUAGCAAUACUUUGUUCAUUUGCAUUCCUCCAUGAUAUUUUACUAUGUUAAGAUAUUAUAAUUUAUUUAUCAUUCUACCAUUAAUAGGUAUGUGUGUGGUUAUCAGUAUUGGGCUAUUACAAAUAAUGCUCUGUUAAGAACAUCCGUAUAUUCCCUUUGCUGUAUAUACAUACUCAUUUCUGUUAGUUACAAACUUAGGAGUAGAAUUACCGAUUAAUAGGGUAUUCAUAUGUUCAGCUUUAGUCAGCUCUACGCAGUGGUAUCCAAAAUGGUUGUAUCAUAUUAUACUCCCACCAGCAGGGUAAUAGUUUCCAUUGCUCUACACUUAUAUUAGCUCUUAGAAUUGUUGGUCUUUUAAAUUUUAAUCUAUUCUUGUGAAUGUAUAUCUGGAUGUCAUUGAACUUUUAGUUUAUAUAUCCCGAUGACUAGUGAGGUUGAAUACUUUUUUAUAUGUUUAUUGGCAAUUUGGAUAUCCCUUUUUGUGAAGUGCCUGUUCAGCUUUUUUGCUUAUUUUGUAAUUGUGUUGUCUUUUUUAUAUUGAUUAGUAGGAGUUUUUUAUAUAUUUUGGAUAUGAAUCCUUUGUUGGUUUUAUAUAUUGUAUUUUCCUGUACUUCGUGCUUUCAGUUUUCACUCUCUUAAUGGUAUCUUUUGAUAAGCAGAAGUUUCUAAUUUUAAUGUAGUCCAGUUUAUCAAUCUUUUCCUUAGUGACUAAUGUUUUUUAUGUCCUGUUUAAGGAGUAUUUGUCUAUCCUGAGGUCAUGAUGAUACUCUUAUUGUCUAGAAGCUGUAUCAUUUUACCUGUCAUGUUUAGAUCUACAGUUGACUGGACUAAUUUUUUUUUUUAAGAUUUAUUUAUUUAUUUGACAGAGAGAGAGAGAGCACAAGAAGGUAGAGCAGCAGGCAGAGGGAGAGAGGGAGAAGCAGACUCCCUGCUGAGCAGGGAGCCCAACAUGGGGCUUGAUCCCCGGACCCUGGGAUCAUGACCUGAGCCAAAGGCAGACGCUUAACCGACUGAGCCACCCAGGCGCCCCUGGACUGAUUUUUUUGAGCGUAGUUUAAGGAGAGUUCACAGUUCAGUUUUUUUCCAUGUGAAUAUCCAUGUGGCCAGUACUGUUACCAAGAUGUUCUUUUCCCAGUCUUUCCAGUGCCAUUUGUCUUAAAUCAAGUAUUCAUAUUAUGUGUGAAUCUAUUGCUGAGUUCCUUCUCUUCCAUCACACUAGUGUCACACUCUCUUAAUUGUGGUACCUUUAUAACAAUAAAGGUGUUUUGUUUUGUUUUUUUAAAGAUUUUAUUUAUUUCUUUGACAGAGAGAGAGACAGCGAGAGAGGGAACCACAAGCAGGGGGAGUGGGAGAAGGAGAAGCAGGCUUCCCGUUGAGCAGGGAGCCCAAUGUGUGGCUUGAUCCCAGGACCCUAGCAUCAUGACCUGACCCAAAGGCAGACACUUAACGGCUGAGCCACCCAGGUGCCCCACAGUAAAGGUCCUAAUAUCUGAUAGUACAUCUCUUCAAGCAUGGUUCUGCAAGAUUAACUUGGCUAUUCUUGGGCAUUUGCAUUUCCAUUUAAACUUUAUAGAGUGAGCUUAUCAAUAUCUGCCAAAAAACCUACUAAGAUUUUUACUGAAUUGGUAUUUAAUUUAUAGAUCAAUUGGGGGAGAUUUGACGUUUUUAUAUUAAGUCUCUUAAUCCACGAGCAAAGUAUAUCCUUCCAUUUAUUCCUGUCUUCUUUGAUUUCUCUCAGUAAUACUUUAUAGUUUUCUGUGUACAGAUUUUGCACAUCUUUCAGUAGACUUGUUCCUUGCUUUUGGUGUUUUUUGACACCUUUUUAAAUGGUAAUUUUUCUUGUAUCACUUGUUUUUUUUUUGCUCUACCCCUUCUCCUCUCCCUUCCUCUAUCACUUUUUUUUUAAAUCAGGAUUUAUUUUUUUUUUAUUUUUUUUAAUUUAAUUUUAUUUUUUUAUUCUUAUGUUAAUCCCCAUACAUUACAUCAUUAGUUUUAGAUGAAGUGUUCCAUGAUUCAUUGUUUGUGCAUAACACCCAGUGCUCCAUGCAGAAUGUGCCCUCCUCAAUACCCACCACCAGGCUAACCCAUCCUCCCACCCCCCUCCCCUCCUCUAUCACUUUUAAAUUUUAAUUUUCUAAAAAAAAAUAAUUUUCUAAUUGCCUAUUGCUGGUGUAUAGAAAUAGAAUUGAUAUUUGUUGACCUGUAUUCACUUGCUGAAUUCACUUACUGUUUCAUGCCCUCUUCCAAUAAUAGUAGUUUUAUUUCUUUACAGUUCUUAACUUUUUUCUUUUUCUUGCCUUAUUGCACUGGCUAGAGCCUCCAGUACAGUGUUGAAUAGAAGGUGGUAAUAAUAGACAUUCCUGACAUCAGGCAGCUUUGAAUAUCUCACCACUAAAUAUGAUGUUUUCUGUUAGUUAUUUGAGGAUACUCUUUAUUAGAUUAAGGGGCAUUUAUUCAGUGACCAGCAGACUUCCUGGUUCUAACAGAUUGAUAAAAAGGUAUAGCCCUCUAAAUGUUAACAAUUGGAGAAUUUCGGUGAACUGGUGUAUACAGACAGUCCCCAACUUAUAGUGUGAUUAACUUACAAUUUUUCAAAUUCACAAUGGUACAAAAGCAGUACACAUUUAGUAGAAACCAUACCUCAAAUUUUGAUCUUCUCUCAGGCUAGCAAUAUUCAGUAUAAUGAUCUCUUAUGAUACUGGGCAGCGACAGCAAACUGCAGCUCCCAGUCAGCCAUGCAGUCACAAGGGUAAACAACCCAUACACUUAGAACCAUUCUGUACCCAUACAGCCAUUCUGUUUUUCACUUUCAGUGCACUGUUCAGUAAAUUACAUGAGAUGUUCAACACUUAAUUAUAAAAUAGACUUUGUGGAGUGCCUGGGUGGCUCAGUCGGUUGAGUGUCCAACUCUUGGUUUCAGCUCAGGUCAUGAUCUCAGGGUCAUGGGGUCGAGCCUCAUGUCAGGCUCUGCACUCAGUGGGGAAUCUGCUUGAGAUUCUCUCCCUCUCCCUCUGCCCCUUCCCCCAAUCUUGCGUGUGCGUGCAUGCACACACACACUCUCUCAAAUAAAUAAAUAAAAUCUUAAAAAAUAAAAUGGGCUUUAUAUAAGAUGAUUUUACCCAACUGUAACCUAAGGUAAGUAUUCUGAGCACAUUUAAGGUAGGUUAAAUGUAUUAAAUGCAUUUUUUACUUACAAUAUUUUGAAUUUACAGUGGUUUUGUCAUUAUAAAAUGAUACUUUGUCACUUUGAAAAUUUCUCAAGUUAAAUAGCUAGACAAAUGCAGCCAAAGUAUAGUCCUAUUUUAUCUUGACAUUUGAUUUUCCACUAUUAUUAACAGAACCUCUUUAAGUGGCUAAAUGUGUAGGAGGUAUAUAAUAAAUAAUAGCACUGCCCAAAUUUCCCUUGGUAACUCUAUAAUAACUGCUGUUCAAAACUCUUGACCUUUAAGAACCAUCAGUCACGAUGUUCUCAGCUGCAAAAUGUGAACUGAGUUAUGAGUAUUCAGAAAUGCUGUAGUGAAUACACAGAAGGCCUCUAAAGCAUGGAAAUGCACCUUUGUGUAGUUGAGAGACAGUAUUAUAUAGUAGACUAGAGUCAGUUUGCCUGGAUUUGAAUCCUGCCUUCACAAAUCACUUAGCUAUGUGACCUUCGGCAAGUCAUGUAUUCUUUUAAAGCUUUAAUUUUCUUAAAAUCUGUGGACACAGUGACAAUAUGUACCUCCCACAGUUGUUGUGAGGAUUCAAAUAGUUAUUAGUUAUCCUCAGUAAAUUUAGUUAUUGAUUAGAACUGGCUCUCUUGGGGCGCCUGGGUGGCUCAGUCGGUUAAGCCUCUGCUUUCAGCUCAGGUCAUGAUCCCAGGGUCCUGGGAUGGAGCCCUGCAUCGGGCUCCCUGCUUGGCAGGGAGCCUGCCUCUCCCUCUCCCCGACUUCUGCUCUCUCUCUCCCCCUCUCUCUCUCUCAAAUAAAUAAAAUCUUAAGAAGAAGAAGAACUAACUGGCUCUCUGUUUUUGAAGGCCUUUUGAAUUUCUCCUCCAUCUUAGAGUGAUAACCUAUGAUGGUCCUCACUAUAUAGAGAUUCUUUCUCAAAUACCCACUGGCCUAGGGGGGGAAAAAUGCCAAUUUAAAAAAGAAAAUAUGAGGGGUGCCUGGGUGGCUCAGUCCUUAAGCGUCUGCCUUCGGCUCGGGUCGUGAUCCCGGGGUCCUGGGAUUGAGCCCCGCAUCGGGCUCCCUGCUCGGCGGGAAGCCUGCUUCUCCCUCUCCUGCUCCCCCUGCUUGUGUUCCCUCUCUCGCUGUGUCUCUCUCUGUCAAAUAAAUAAAUAAAAUCUUUAAAAAAAAAAAGAAAAUAUGAGGUGCCCAACUGGCUCAAUCAGUAGAGCAUGCAACUCUUGAUCUCAGCGUUGUGAGUUCGAGCCCCAUGUUAGGUGUAGAGAUUAUUUCUUAAAAAUUAAAAAUCUCAGGGGCGCCUAGGUGGCUCUGUCAGUUAAGCGUCUGUCUUCGGCUUAGGUUGUGAUCCCAGGGUCCUGGGAUCGAGCCCCACAUCGGGCUCCUUGCUCAGCAGGGAGCUUGCUUUUCUCCUUUUCCCUCUGCCUGCCGCUCCCUGCUUGUGCUCUCUCUCUCUCUCUGUCAAAUAAAUAAAUAAAAUCUUUAAAAAAAAAAAUUAAAAAAUUAAAUCUUAAAAAAGUACCAUCUAAAGUUGCAAACAGGUGACGCUGCGGUGCACCAAGUCUCCCCACGUCGCAUUGCCAUGGCUGCCCAUGGCGUUGCUGCUGCCGGCAAGGGUCUGUGCUACACCGAGUAGUCGCCGCCGGCAACUAAACGGCCGGACGCGGACAUGGACCAGGGACUGGCAAGAAGUUUGAUAGCUGUAGGACUGGGUGUUGCAGCUCUUGCAUUUGCAGGUCGCUAUACAUUUCAAAUCUGGAAGCCUCUAGAACAAGUAAUCACAGAAACGGUGAAGAAGAUUUCCACUCCUAGCCUUUCAUCCUACUAUAAAGGAGGAUUUAAACAGAAAAUGAGUAGGCGAGAAGCUAGUCUUACUUUGGGUAUAAGCCCAUCUGCUGGCAAGGCCAAGAUUAGAACAGCUCAUAGGAGAAUCAUGAUUUUCAAUCACCCAGUUAAAGGUGGAUCUCCUUACUUAGCAACCAAAAUAAAUAAUGCAAAAGACUUGCCAGAAGCACCACAAAACAUUGAUUGAUGCUUAAGAAUCAUUCUGAAGGAAAAAAGGGGGGGAAUAUAAAACAAGUCCUGCAAAGUAGUCUAAACCACGGUGUUCGUAAUUUUCAUACAUGCACUAACCACAAUCAUUUAUUCCACUAUUAAGGUAUAUAAUAAUAAAAGAUUAACAAUCAAAAAAAAAAAGUUGCAAACAGGAACGCCCGAGUGGCUCAGUUGGUUAAGCGUCUGCCUUUGGCUCAGCAGGGAGCCUGCUUCUCCCUCAGCAGGGAGCCUGCUUCUCCCUCUGCCUGCCGCUUCCCCUGUUUGUGUGCUCUGUCUCUCUGACAAAUAAAUAAAAUAAAUAAAAUCUUUAAAAAAAAAAAAAGUAAAGUUGCAAACAUAUAUUCUAUUGCAAGCAAUGAAAACUGGCAGGCCAAAUUCAGCCCACAGAUAUGUUUUAUUAAUAAGUGUUUAAAUUUGAGGGCGCUUGGGUGGCUCAGUUGGUUAGGCGACUGCCUUCGGCUCAGGUCAUGAUCCUGGAGUCCCGGGAUCGAGUCCCGCAUCGGGCUCCCCGCUCGGCAGGGAGUCUGCUUCUCCCUCUGACCCUCCCCACUCUCAUGUGCUCUCUCUCAAAUAAAUAAAUAAAAUCUUUAAAAAUAAAUAAAUAAAUAAAUAAAAUAAGUGUUUAAAUUUGAAUUUGUGGCCAACUAAUCAAAACAUCAAAAAAUCUCUCAAGAAUUGCUCUCGAAAAUUUCAAAAGUAAGCUUAAACCAGAUUCUUACGGGCAUUAAACUUGCAAGAGACCCUUUUCUCAGUGUGAGCAAAAAUUGUACUAAGUGCUAAGCUGAAUUUUAUCUCUUUAUAAAAGAAAGACAUAACUGGGUGUUGAUGAGGUGCCAUGAGACUCGUCCACUGGCAGUCAAAACACAAAUGGGCAGUUGUGGAAAGCUCUCAGACUGUGUUGCUCAUGAGUCUGACAUCCAUACCAUCUUACCUGGUAAUCUCACAACUGGAAAUAUUUUCAAGAGAAAUAACCUUAAAAGUUUUUUGCCCAGUGAUAUUGUGUCACUUAAAAUAUUCAGAAACUGGGGAACUGUUAAAGAAACUAGGGAAUUUUUUUUUUUAAGAUUUUAUUUAUUUGAGAGAGAGAGAGAAUGAGAGAGAGAGCACAUGAAAGGGGGGAGGGUCAGAGAGAGAAGCAGAUUCCCCGCUGAGCAGGGAGCCCGAUGCGGGACUCAAUCCAGGGACUCCAGGAUCAUGACCUGAGCCGAAGGCAGUUGCUCAACCGAGCCACUCAGGCGCCCAGAAACUAGGGAAUGUUUAAGUAAAUUCUGGUAUAUACAUAAUUAGAAGAUUAUGUACCUAUUAAGACAGUAAAUGUGUGGGGUGCCUGGGUGGCUCAGUCAUGAAGCGUCUGCCUUCGGCUCAGGUCAUGGUCCCAGGGUCCUGGGAUCGAGCCCCACAUCAGGCCCUCUGCUUGGCGGGAAGCCUGCUUCUCCCUCUCCCACUCCCCCUGCUUGUGUUCCCUCUCUCACUGUGUCAAAUAAAUAAAAUCUUUAAAAAAAAACAGUAAAUGUGAAAAACAAAUAGUAAUAUGAGAAAUGCCAAUCAUAUAAUGAUAGGUGAAGAAAGGUGCCAAGUUGGGGUUUUUUAGGGUUUUUUUCUUUAAGUUUUUUUUUUUAAGAUUUAUUUAUUUGAGAGCGCAAGAAAGAGAGAGCGCACAAGCAGAGGCAGAGGGAGAAGCAGGCUCCUCACCGAGCAAGGAGCCCGAUACGAGACUUGAUCCCAGGACCCUGGGAUCACAACCCAAGCUGAAGGCAGAUGCCCAACUGACUGAGCCACCCAGGCGCCCUAAGAUUUUAUUUUUAAGUAAUCUCUGCACCCACCGUGGGGCUCGAACUUACAACCUGGAGAUCACAAGUCACAUGCUCCACUGAUUGAGCCACCCAGGUGCCCCAGAUGCCAAGUUUUAUAUACCCUAAUUGCAAUGACUUAAAGGUAAAAAAAUCUGAAAGGAAGUGUAAUAAAAUAUAGUGCUUAGGUUGUUAAUGGAAUUUUUCCCUUUAUUUUCCAGAUUUUCUGUAAGGUGAUUCUAAUUUUAAUGUUUAUGUGUCUACUUUAUGUAUCUGAUGUUUAGGUAAAACCUCAGAGACUGCCAUGCCAUCCCCCACUGACCACUCCCAGUGCUCUCAUUCCCCGCCCCCCCUCUUCCAGAUAACCCAAGCUGCCAGUGUCAGUCCAUUUGGUUCACUCAGACCCACAUAGAUUUGUCUUGUUUAUUUUAUUCUAGGAAGACAAA
Molecule: RNA transcript, 8051 nt
Organism: Mirounga angustirostris (Northern elephant seal)
Lineage: Eukaryota; Metazoa; Chordata; Mammalia; Carnivora; Phocidae
Gene name: dnaJ homolog subfamily C member 15-like
Exons: 1
Source: RefSeq, a predicted model, not a curated record